Molecule: long non-coding RNA, 679 nt
Organism: Lycium barbarum (goji berry)
Lineage: Eukaryota; Viridiplantae; Streptophyta; Magnoliopsida; Solanales; Solanaceae
Exons: 3
Source: RefSeq, a predicted model, not a curated record
UUUGUUUUUUUCCUGAUGACUUUUUUUUUAUCACUAAAACUAGAAUACACAUAUUAUUUGCUCAGAUUUACACUCAAAGAUGAGAAGUAUGAGAAAAUAUAUUAUUUUUAAUGAUUUUUUUAAUACUGACCGCGCAUCGUGCGGGUACGAAUACUAUUCUUAUAUUUAUAUAUAAUAGGAGAGGCAAAAGAACAAUACGAUGACAAGUGUCAUUACCACAAAAAUCAGAAUUUAAAAGUUUUUUAAAUCAAAAUAAAAAACAAAAAUCACAUAGUUAAAAAAAACUGCAAUGAGUAAAUUACUCAGCAAAGUAAAAAAUAAAGAAACUGCAAAGGCAAAAGAAAAAUGCAAGGAGCGUAUAAAAAUAAAAAAAAAUUCCAAACCUCCAAGUUAACUUCCCAUGUCUCAAACCCCAGAAAUUAUCUUUCAGUUUCCACCGUCAAAGCCUCUCUCACUAUCGCUAUUGAAGUGAAUAGCUCUUUUGAUUUCUAUUGCUGUAACAACAAUUUGGAGUGCUAUGACUUGCACAUCAUUCAACAUCCCAAGAGGUGAACCAGAGUGGUGGCUAGCUAGAGGGAAGUAGAAAUGUCAAUCUCUUUCACCGGCGAAAUCGACCUUUCUUCUCAUGCCCAAUCUAUUCAUUCUUCAACUCAUGACUAAGAUGUGAUUUUACUCUUAC